This 305-nucleotide ribosomal RNA is filed under the name uncultured bacterium. Its description in RNAcentral is "bacterial SSU rRNA". It matches the Rfam family "Bacterial small subunit ribosomal RNA", at positions 333 to 656 of the family's 1533-position model. The record is from RNAcentral.
UGAGCCUACGGGGCGCAGCAGUGGGGGAUAUUGCACAAUGGGGGAAACCCUGAUGCAGCGACGCCGCGUGGGUGAAGAAGCGCCUCGGUGCGUAAAGCCCUGUCAGCAGGGAAGAAAAUGACGGUACCUGAAGAAGAAGCCCCGGCUAACUACGUGCCAGCAGCCGCGGUAAUACGUAGGGGGCAAGCGUUAUCCGGAUUUACUGGGUGUAAAGGGGGCGCAGACGGCGAUGCAAGCCAGGAGUGAAAGCCCGCGGCCCAACCGCGGGACUGCAUUGAGAACUACCGGGCUGGAGUGCCGGCGAG